GCCAUGAUCAGAAUGUUUGGUGGAGGAGGGAGGGUGAUAAAGGAAAUGAAGGGAGGAAAAGCAUUUUCCUAAGCCCACUGCAAAAACUGGAACCAGAGGAGACGGAGAAUGUUAACUCCUUGUAUAUAUGUGUGAGAAAGAACCUGAGCUGGAAUUAAAACAGAGGCACUCCCUCUGAAGAGGAAGGAGAAACUGAGAGAGUGAGGCAGUUCCUGCUGAACCUUUGUUAGCUCUUGUGGUGAAGGGAGUUUUCGCCAUCAGGGGCAGCCUUGGGAGAGGAUGCUGCUAUAGAAAAAGCUCAUGAAACUCAAAGGCACAGAGACAAGCUCAUGGCUGCAUUAUGAAGCUUGCAUAGUCCCAGGAGAGCGGAUAGCCCUCUUAGCAGAUUCAAAUUCCACUCUCUCUAGAAACAUGAAGUAGCAGCCUACUGUGUACAAGAAAGCCAUCAGCAAUGAGGGACCUGCAGCCAAGUUCGUUACGGACCAGCUUGCUGAGUUGUCUUGAAAAGCGGGCUUACAGGUGUUCUAAGCCCAUGUUUUAUCCUGAAGUUCCCCUCGACAAGAAAAACGAAUUCAUAGCACAAAGUACACCAGUUUAAGACUAGCCUUAGAAUUCUUUUUUGCAUUAAUCCAAACAGAAGAGAUUUGUUUUACCAUUCCUUCAAUCGUUCCCACAGAGAGAAGUCAGAAAUCUGACUGGUAAGAAAUUUUUACCCUUUUGCCGGCAUGCCAAUCUUCUGGGUUCUCUUUCUCUGAGCAGUCCUAGUGAUCCAGCUUGUGGCACCAUCACCCUGGGGCCAAGCCACAUUAUAAAGGAAUUUUUUUUUUUCAUUCUGGCCAGAGCAAAAUACAUGUGAUAAAACACAGACAUUAGCCACUCUGCUUAGCACCCAAUAUCAAACUGGCAAGGCUUAAAUUUUCCCCCAGAUGAGUCCCAUCAUCUUUAAUCCAACCUCCGACUUGGAGUAUCAACAUAUGGUCUCUGGGCAAGAUGGUCACCCUGAGUGACAGAAAAUAUAGGAAAGGAAAAGUAGAGAAGGAAAGUAUUACCUGUGGUAGGGUGGGGAAGGUGAAGAGCUCAGGGAAGCCAGAGAAAACGCCCACUCAUUGCAGCCGACAAUGAAAAGUUCAAGGCCGGGUGUGGUGGCUCGAACCUGUAAUCCUAGUACUUUGGGAGGCCGAGGCGGGUGGAUCACCUGAGGUCGGGAGUUGAAGACCAGCCUGACCAACAGGGAGAAACCCUGUCUCCACUAAAAAUACACAAUUAGCCUAGCGUGGUGGCGCAUUGCUGUAAUCCCAGCUACUCAGGAGGCUGAGGCAGGAGAAUUGCUUGAACCUGGGAGGCGGAGGUUGUGGUGAGACGAGAUCGUGCCAUUGCACUCCAGCCUGGGAAACAAGAGCAAAACUCCAUCUCAAAAAACAAGAAAGGAAGGAAGGAAGGAAGAAAGAAAAGGAAAGGAAAGGAAAGGAAAAAGGAAAGGAAAGGAAAAGACAGGACAGGACAGGAAAGGAAAGGAAAAGAAAGGAAAGGAAAGGAAAAGACAGGACAGGACAGGAAAGGAAAGGAAAAGAAAGGAAAGGAAAGGAAAGGAAAGGAAAGGAAAGGAAAGGAAAAGACAGGACAGGACAGGAAAGGAAAGGAAAAGAAAGGAAAGGAAAGGAAAGGAAAGGAAAGGAAAGGCAAGGCAAGGCAAGGCAAGGCAAGGCGCGGUGGCUCACGCCUGUAAUCCCAGCACUUUGGGAGGCUAAGGCGGGAGGAUCACCUGAGGUCAGGAGUUCGAGACCAGCCUCAACAUGGAAAAACCCCGUCUCUACUAAAAAUACAAAAUUACCUGGGCGUGGUGGUGCAUGCCUGUAACCCCAGCUACUUGGGAG
Molecule: long non-coding RNA, 1874 nt
Filed under: Homo sapiens (human)
Lineage: Eukaryota; Metazoa; Chordata; Mammalia; Primates; Hominidae
Description: HSALNT0036204
Source: RNAcentral